This 455-nucleotide ribosomal RNA is filed under the name uncultured organism. RNAcentral describes it as "bacterial SSU rRNA". It matches the Rfam family "Bacterial small subunit ribosomal RNA", at positions 346 to 794 of the family's 1533-position model. The record is from RNAcentral.
GUGCAGCAGGCGAGAAUUUUUCACAAUGGGGGCAACCCUGAUGGAGCGACGCCGCGUGGAGGAUGAAGGCUUUCGGGUUGUAAACUCCUGUCAUUUGAGAACAAGUGUAGCCAACUAACUAUUGGCUACUUGAUAGUAUCAGAAGAGGAAGGGACGGCUAACUCUGUGCCAGCAGCCGCGGUAAUACAGAGGUCCCAAGCGUUGUUCGGAUUCAUUGGGCGUAAAGGGUGCGUAGGUGGCGCCGUAAGUGGGGUGUGAAAUUUCGGAGCUUAACUCCGAAACUGCAUUCCAUACUGCGGUGCUUGAGGACUGGAGAGGAGACUGGAAUUCAUGGUGUAGCAGUGAAAUGCGUAGAGAUCAUGAGGAAGACCAGUGGCGAAGGCGGGUCUCUGGACAGUUCCUGACACUGAGGCACGAAGGCUAGGGGAGCGAACGGGAUUAGAUACCCGUGUAGU